Long non-coding RNA from Saimiri boliviensis boliviensis (Bolivian squirrel monkey), 617 nucleotides. RefSeq lists it as uncharacterized. The record is from RefSeq and is a predicted model, not a curated record. Lineage: Eukaryota; Metazoa; Chordata; Mammalia; Primates; Cebidae.
GUUCUACUGAUUGAAGUCAUCCUGUCUUGUAACUAAUACAUGACACAUCUGUAAGUCAAGCUGGAAUCCUCUAAAAUAAGUCACCAGGAAAAAAAUUCUGAUCUUAUUCUAGACAAAGAAUGAAAAGCCAGGAAGUUACAUAACCCAAAGGUUCCAGUCUGAAGUGUCUUGUUACUGCUGACAAGACACGCAUGACUGACCAUUUGCUCCCUAAGAGAUGAAAACUGACAUUGCUUUGAAAUUCAAACUGACAUUGCCAAAAAAAGAAGAAAUAGAAAAUAACUGCAGCACAUUUAUGACAUUCGUUUCUUUCUCCACGUGAAACACACAAUGAAAACACUUUAUAGAUGAAUUGUGCCUUCGAUUGAAUAGAGAACGGUGGACUAGCUUUGGUUUUAUGGAAUUGGAUAAUUUGUCAUAGUUUCUGCCCCUGGGAAAAUGAUAACCCAAAGGAAAACAAGUGGAAAAACUUUUAAAAAUAGUGAUAAAACACACAGCUGAUAUUUUUGGUUCAUAGAAGACUUUAAAAUACAUAAUUUACAAAGCCAAUUACUAAGUUAUAAAAAAAUGCUAUCAUCAUCAACAAACAUCCACAGAGCUUUCGGUUUCAACACAAA